ACGCACGCUGGCGGCGUGCUUCACCCCUGCCAGUCGAACGGUGAAGCGCCUUCCUUUUUGGUGGGUGUGGAUGAGUGGCGAACGGGUGAGUAACACGUGAGUAACCUGCCCCCUUCUUCUGGAUAACCGCAUGAAAGUGUGGCUAAUACGGGAUAUUCUGGGUCUGUCGCAUGAUGGGUCUGGGAAAGAUAUUGUUUCGGUGGGGGAUGGGCUCGCGGCCUAUCAGCUUGUUGGUGGGGUGAUGGCCUACCAAGGCGGUGACGGGUAGCCGGCCUGAGAGGGUGGACGGUCACACUGGGACUGAGACACGGCCCAGACUCCUACGGGAGGCAGCAGUGGGGAAUAUUGCACAAUGGGCGCAAGCCUGAUGCAGCGACGCCGCGUGAGGGAUGGAGGCCUGCGGGUUGUGAACCUCUUUCGCCAGUGAAGCAGGCCUGCCUCGUUUGUGGGUGGGUUGACGGUAGCUGGAUAAGAAGCGCCGGCUAACUACGUG
Molecule: ribosomal RNA, 493 nt
Filed under: uncultured bacterium
Lineage: Bacteria
Description: partial 16S ribosomal RNA
Rfam family: Bacterial small subunit ribosomal RNA
Source: RNAcentral